This 450-nucleotide ribosomal RNA is filed under the name uncultured bacterium. RNAcentral describes it as "SSU rRNA". It matches the Rfam family "Bacterial small subunit ribosomal RNA", at positions 26 to 518 of the family's 1533-position model. The record is from RNAcentral.
AGGAUGAACGCUGGCGGUGUGCCUAAUACAUGCAAGUCGAACGAAGCCUUCGGGCUUAGUGGCGGACGGGUGAGUAACACGUUGGUACCUACCCCGAAGUGGGGAAUAACUGCCCGAAAGGGUGGCUAAUACCGCAUAAUACCGCAAGGUUAAAGCGAGUAAUCGCGCUUCGGGAGGGGCCUGCGUCCCAUUAGCUAGUUGGUAGGGUAAUGGCCUACCAAGGCGACGAUGGGUAGCUGGAUCGAGAGGUUGACCAGCCACACUGGGACUGAGAUACGGCCCAGACUCCUACGGGAGGCAGCAGUAAGGAAUCUUCCACAAUGGACGAAAGUCUGAUGGAGCAACACCGCGUGCAGGAUGACGGCCUUCGGGUUGUAAACUGCUUUUAUAUGGGAAGAUUAUGACGGUACCAUAUGAAUAAGGACCGGCUAACUACGUGCCAGCAGCCGC